CUCUGUGACUCCUACGGGAGCAGCAGUGGGGAAUAUUGCACAAUGGGCGCAAGCCUGAUGCAGCCAUGCCGCGUGUAUGAAGAAGGCCUUCGGGUUGUAAAGUACUUUCAGCAGUGAGGAAGGCGGGUACGUUAAUAGCGUAUUCGUUUGACGUUAGCUGCAGAAGAAGCACCGGCUAACUCCGUGCCAGCAGCCGCGGUAAUACGGAGGGUGCGAGCGUUAAUCGGAAUUACUGGGCGUAAAGCGCAUGCAGGUGGUUUGUUAAGUCAGAUGUGAAAGCCCCGGGGCUCAACCUCGGAAUUGCAUUUGAAACUGGCAGACUAGAGUACUGUAGAGGGGGUAGGAAUUUCAGGUGUAGCGGUGAAAUGCGUAGAGAUCUGAAGGAAUACCGGUGGCGAAGGCGGCCCCCUGGACAGAUACUGACACUCAGAUGCGAAAGCGUGGGGAGCAAACAGGAUUAGAUACCCUGGUAG
RNAcentral lists this ribosomal RNA (473 nucleotides) under uncultured bacterium. RNAcentral describes it as "bacterial SSU rRNA". It matches the Rfam family "Bacterial small subunit ribosomal RNA", at positions 328 to 793 of the family's 1533-position model. The record is from RNAcentral.